This 481-nucleotide long non-coding RNA is filed under the name Chinchilla lanigera (long-tailed chinchilla). RNAcentral's name for it is "lncRNA (ENSCLAG00000024492.1)". Lineage: Eukaryota; Metazoa; Chordata; Mammalia; Rodentia; Chinchillidae. The record is from RNAcentral.
CAGGAAUUGUCAGUGGAAAAAGAAAGGAACUCAGGAGAACUCAUGUGUGAAGGGAAAUUGGAAUCUGAUAAAGCCCCGAGUCUGGAGAUGUUCCUAAGUACCUUCCUGAGCAUUUGGGCGUGACCUCACCAGUUUUCUGAGAAGACUUGGUCUUGCUGGAAGCACCGUGGGAAUGUGGGUGGCCUCCAGUGUCAGAGGACAAGGUGAACGCUGUACUCUAUUUUCAUAAUGAACUGCCAUCUUUGUGGAAAUACAGCCUGAAAUCUGUAGCAUACAUAUUUUUCUAGAAACAAGAAUAUCUGUGCUUCUAUUAUAUAAGUCCCGGCAUAAUAAAUUUUCAUAACUUUUUAAAAUGUAAAGUUGAAUAGAAAGAGACUAGAGAGAAAAAAUGGAUACAAAGCUUUCAUAAAUAAGAAGGAGAAGAAGGUUUGAAGGGAGGGGAGAGGAAUGGGAAAAAAAGAAGAAUCAAGAUACAGUGUAU